CACGUUUCAGAUACUCAUUGAGCAGGAAACACACCUGGUGACAGCAGCCUCACCAUACUAAUCAUCCGCAAAAAAAGAAAAAGAGAGAGCAGCCUCACAAUACUAAUCAUUAUAAAUGCAUUGCUCUGGUAUGAUCAUGCAAAUCACCAUCAAUUAGAUUCACGAGUCAAGCAUAGUAAAUAGGAGGGGAUCUUACUGAACACGUUCCAGUCAUUUUCCACAUUUUCAUAGGCUGCAAGUGGCUACCACACCUUGGUAUUUUGACAACAGCCUUUCUCCUUUUACUCUCCUUUUGCCUGUGGAUUAAAACAUUUCAUUAGGUACAGAAAGUCAACCACCAAACCCAGUAGAUUCCUAAUGCUCACUAAACUUUAUGCCAUGAGAUCAUCUUCAUUUCUCAUAUUCCAUUUCUUACCUGAAUAGCUGAAUUCAGUCACUGUGCAAUAUUUCUUCAGAUAUUUCCAACUAGGUACACAUUUCCUUUUUUCUUUGUGGACCUUCACACCACCUUUGCAACUUUCACAAAGAAUGACGACCAGUUUCAAGUUCUAACUGCCAAAGUGAACAUUUCAUUGACCAUAUGGAGGCUGGAUCUUUAAGGGCCACAUAUUCAGGUCAACUGGAAUAGA
Molecule: long non-coding RNA, 629 nt
Filed under: Triticum aestivum (bread wheat)
Lineage: Eukaryota; Viridiplantae; Streptophyta; Magnoliopsida; Poales; Poaceae
Description: long non-coding RNA (TAES_LNC000417)
Source: RNAcentral